AGUGAACGCUGGCGGUAGGCCUAACACAUGCAAGUCGAACGGCAGCACAGUAAGAGCUUGCUCUUACGGGUGGCGAGUGGCGGACGGGUGAGGAAUACAUCGGAAUCUACUUUUUCGUGGGGGAUAACGUAGGGAAACUUACGCUAAUACCGCAUACGACCUACGGGUGAAAGCAGGGGAUCUUCGGACCUUGCGCGAUUGAAUGAGCCGAUGUCGUAUUAGCUAGUUGGCAGGGUAAAGGCCCACCAAGGCGACGAUCCGUAGCUGGUCUGAGAGGAUGAUCAGCCACACUGGAACUGAGACACGGUCCAGACUCCUACGGGAGGCAGCAGUGGGGAAUAUUGGACAAUGGGCGCAAGCCUGAUCCAGCCAUACCGCGUGGGUGAAGAAGGCCUUCGGGUUGUAAAGCCCUUUUGUUGGGAAAGAAAAGCAGCAGGUUAAUACCCCGCUGUUCUGACGGUACCCAAAGAAUAAGCACCGGCUAACUUCGUG
Molecule: ribosomal RNA, 492 nt
Filed under: uncultured bacterium
Lineage: Bacteria
Description: partial 16S ribosomal RNA
Rfam family: Bacterial small subunit ribosomal RNA
Source: RNAcentral